This 473-nucleotide ribosomal RNA is filed under the name Loxechinus albus. RNAcentral describes it as "partial 12S ribosomal RNA". It matches the Rfam family "Bacterial small subunit ribosomal RNA", at positions 838 to 1533 of the family's 1533-position model. Lineage: Eukaryota; Metazoa; Echinodermata; Echinoidea; Camarodonta; Echinidae. The record is from RNAcentral.
UAUUAUACUUAGAUGUAAACAACCUAAGCCACCAGAGAACUACGAACCUAAAGUUUAAAACUCAAAGGACUUGGCGGUUUUCCAAACCUCCCUGGAGGAGCUUGCCAUUGAAUCGAUAAUCCACGAAAUACCUCACCAGCUUUUGUAAUUUCAGCUUGUAUACCAUCGUCGUAAGUCUACUUCUUGAGAAAGUUGACACCAAGGAAAAAUUCCCCGACGUCAGAUCAAGGUGCAGCAUAUGAACUGGGAAUAGGUGAGCUACAAUGUUUGUAAAAACCAGUGAAAACAGAAAUGAAAAAUUCCCUAGAAAUUGGAUUCAGUAGUAAGCCUCAAAUAGAAAAUGAGGCUGAAAAGAGCUCUGGAAUGCGUACACAUCGCCCGUCACUCUCGCCUAGCUUAACUCAAGUGAGGGGAGAAAAGUCGUAACACAAUAGGCGCACCGGAAGUGUGCCUGGAAAAUGCCCCUAUAGUUG